UACGUAGGGGGCUAGCGUUGCCCGGAUUUAUUGGGCGUAAAGAGCGUGUAGGCGGCCGGGUAAGUCCGGUGUGAAAACUCGAGGCUUAACCUCGAGAUGUCAUCGGAAACUAUUCGGCUAGAGUCCGGAAGAGGAGAGUGGAAUUCCUGGUGUAGCGGUGAAAUGCGCAGAUAUCAGGAAGAACACCUAUGGCGAAAGCAGCUCUCUGGGACGGUACUGACGCUGAGACGCGAAAGCGUGGGGAGCGAACAGG
Molecule: ribosomal RNA, 253 nt
Filed under: uncultured bacterium
Lineage: Bacteria
Description: partial 16S ribosomal RNA
Rfam family: Bacterial small subunit ribosomal RNA
Source: RNAcentral